RNAcentral lists this ribosomal RNA (253 nucleotides) under Bacteroides ovatus. Its description in RNAcentral is "partial 16S ribosomal RNA". It matches the Rfam family "Bacterial small subunit ribosomal RNA", at positions 524 to 776 of the family's 1533-position model. Lineage: Bacteria; Pseudomonadati; Bacteroidota; Bacteroidia; Bacteroidales; Bacteroidaceae. The record is from RNAcentral.
UACGGAGGAUCCGAGCGUUAUCCGGAUUUAUUGGGUUUAAAGGGAGCGUAGGUGGAUUGUUAAGUCAGUUGUGAAAGUUUGCGGCUCAACCGUAAAAUUGCAGUUGAAACUGGGAGUCUUGAGUACAGUAGAGGUGGGCGGAAUUCGUGGUGUAGCGGUGAAAUGCUUAGAUAUCACGAAGAACUCCGAUUGCGAAGGCAGCUCACUAGACUGUCACUGACACUGAUGCUCGAAAGUGUGGGUAUCAAACAGG